Molecule: ribosomal RNA, 229 nt
Filed under: uncultured bacterium
Lineage: Bacteria
Description: partial 16S ribosomal RNA
Rfam family: Bacterial small subunit ribosomal RNA
Source: RNAcentral
CGUGUAGGCGGUUCGGUAAGUCGGAUGUGAAAGCCCCGGGCUCAACCUGGGAACUGCAUCCGAAACUGCCGAGCUAGAGUCCCGGAGAGGAAGGCAGAAUUCCCAAUGUAGGGGUGAAAUCCGUAGAUAUUGGGAGGAAUACCAGAGGCGAAGGCGGCCUUCUGGACGGUGACUGACGCUGAGACGCGAAAGCGUGGGGAGCAAACAGGAUUAGAUACCCUGGUAGUCC